UAGGGAAUCUUCGGCAAUGGACGAAAGUCUGACCGAGCAACGCCGCGUGAGUGAAGAAGGUUUUCGGAUCGUAAAACUCUGUUGUUAGAGAAGAACAAGGACGUUAGUAACUGAACGUCCCCUGACGGUAUCUAACCAGAAAGCCACGGCUAACUACGUGCCAGCAGCCGCGGUAAUACGUAGGUGGCAAGCGUUGUCCGGAUUUAUUGGGCGUAAAGCGAGCGCAGGCGGUUUCUUAAGUCUGAUGUGAAAGCCCCCGGCUCAACCGGGGAGGGUCAUUGGAAACUGGGAGACUUGAGUGCAGAAGAGGAGAGUGGAAUUCCAUUUGUAGCGGUGAAAUGCGUAGAUAUAUGGAGGAACACCAGUGGCGAAGGCGGCUCUCUGGUCUGUAACUGACGCUGAGGCUCGAAAGCGUGGGGAGCAAACAGG
Molecule: ribosomal RNA, 429 nt
Filed under: Gemmatimonadota bacterium
Lineage: Bacteria; Pseudomonadati; Gemmatimonadota
Description: Gemmatimonadetes bacterium partial 16S ribosomal RNA
Rfam family: Bacterial small subunit ribosomal RNA
Source: RNAcentral